This 497-nucleotide ribosomal RNA is filed under the name uncultured bacterium. Its description in RNAcentral is "partial 16S ribosomal RNA". It matches the Rfam family "Bacterial small subunit ribosomal RNA", at positions 28 to 507 of the family's 1533-position model. The record is from RNAcentral.
GACGAACGCUGGCGGCGUGCCUAAUACAUGCAAGUUGAGCGAUGAAGAUUGGUGCUUGCACCCAUUUGAAGAGCAGCGAACGGGUGAGUAACGCGUGGGUAAUCUGCCUUUGAGCGGGGGACAACAUUUGGAAACGAAUGCUAAUACCGCAUAACAACUUUAAACAUAAGUUUUAAGUUUGAAAGAUGCAAUUGCAUCACUCAAAGAUGAUCCCGCGUUUUAUUAGCUAGUUGGUGAGGUAAAGGCUCACCAAGGCGAUGAUACAUAGCCGACCUGAGAGGGUGAUCGGCCAAAUUGGGAAUGAGACACGGCCCAAACUCCUACGGGAGGCAGCAGUAGGGAAUCUUCGGCAAUGGACGAAAGUCUGACCGAGCAACGCCGCGUGAGUGAAGAAGGUUUUCGGAUCGUAAAACUCUGUUGGUAGAGAAGAACGUUGGUGAGAGUGGAAAGCUCAUCAAGUGACGGUAACUACCCAGAAAGGGACGGCUAACUACGUG